Lupinus albus (white lupine) is the source of this 231-nucleotide non-coding RNA. The record is from the annotation of a GenBank genome assembly. NCBI's taxonomy places the organism in Eukaryota, Viridiplantae, Streptophyta, Magnoliopsida, Fabales, Fabaceae.
CCCUUUCUCUCUCUUCCCCAAUACAUACACUUUCCAUUUCCAGAUCUAUGAGUAUUGCGUGGAUCCACCUUUUUUAACAUUAAAAAACAAAAGAAGGAAUAACAAAUACCAUGGACCGACCACAAUGAUUCCAUUCAUGUAUGAGCCAUUUUGGUGCAAAGUUGAAACAAAAAUUGGCACAUGCAGAUUCAAUCAGGGAAGUGGACUACGGUGGUAGAUAGAUUGCAAUUU